UAUCCAUUAUGGAAAAUUCAACAUUAAUAUUAUAAUAUUUAUUUAUAAAUCAUUAUAAAAAUAGUGUGCAAUUUUUCCAUAUAAGGACAUUGUAAUCUGUUAAUGUAAUAAAUAUUUAUCAUAAGAUUCAAUAAAAAUAAAAGUUUAUUCAAAUUAGUUAUUUUCCGAUUUCUAACAUAGAAUAAAUUUAAUUGAAUUUGAUAAAUCAUUGACAGAUUUAUUUAUAUAUAGUGCUUAAAUUCUUAAUUGAAUUUUACAAUAAUUUUUAAAUGUAUUUUCAUUUAUUUAUUUAUUGUAUGCACUUAUAUGAUUAACAAUGCUAUAGAUUCAGGAUACCUUCGGGACCCGUCUUGAAACACGGACCAAGGAGUCUAACAUAUGUGCAAGUCAUUGGGUAUUUUUAAUAAAACCCAAAGGCAUAAUUAACUUAACUGUUUUAUAUAUAUGGGAUUAGUUUAUAUUUUAUUAUGAAAUAUUAAUUCAAUCCCAGGGCGUUCUAUAUAGUUAUGUAUAAUAAUAUUUAUAUUAUUUAUGCCUCUAACUAGAGCGUACCUUGAGCAUAUAUGCUGUGACC
Molecule: ribosomal RNA, 574 nt
Filed under: Merodon kopensis
Lineage: Eukaryota; Metazoa; Arthropoda; Insecta; Diptera; Syrphidae
Description: partial 28S large subunit ribosomal RNA
Source: RNAcentral